GAUCCUGGCUCAGGAUUAACGCUGGCGGCAUGCCUAAUACAUGCAAGUCGAACGAAAGUAGCAAUACUUUAGUGGCGAACGGGUGAGUAACACGUAGGAAACCUACCUCAAAGACGAGGAUAACUACUGGAAACGGUAGCUAAAACUGGAUAGGAUAUACGAAGGCAUCUUUGUAUAUUUUAAAAAGUCCUUCUGGGAAUGCUAUGAGAUGGUCCUGCGGCGCAUUAGCUAGUUGGUGAGGUAAAGGCCCACCAAGG
This 257-nucleotide ribosomal RNA is filed under the name uncultured bacterium. Its description in RNAcentral is "partial 16S ribosomal RNA". It matches the Rfam family "Bacterial small subunit ribosomal RNA", at positions 15 to 273 of the family's 1533-position model. The record is from RNAcentral.